CAUUCCAGCAGGAACCUGCCGCUCAGCUAUCAAAGGGCCCUUCUUCUUCCCGGCGUGCGGGAUUCCAGACGGCACCACGCUGGGCGGGAUCCGGGCAGGCCCCGGGCAGCAUGGGCACCAAGCACCAGCAUGCCUAUUGCAGGCAGUUUGCACCCACGCUGCACUGAGAGACGCAACACACCAGAAGCGGCGCAAGGGGCCUGUGUGUGUGGACUGGUCGGAGACAUCCAGGCUGAAAGGGCCCGUUCUGACCAUCCAGUCUGCCCUGCCGCAUGGCACAGUCCAGACUCCCCCAGGCUUCCUGGGCAGAGCCCUCGGGUGAGGGGACGCUUGGCCCUCGGGGGAGCAGCUCCUCUUUGGGGCGUCGCUGGAGUCAGUCAGGAAUGAGGGUGAGCGUAACCACAAUGAGCCGCUUGGAAACUGGCCGAAGAGCAGCCUGUGUGUGGACACUGAGUCUAGCCAUGUCUUGGGCUGCCAAGGUGAGAGGGGCCCAUUAGGACCAGCCGAGCUGACUGGCCCCGCUGCCUUGCCCAGGCCACCAGCCCCAGCCAGGGGUUCCUGCAGCCGCACUUCUGGGAGAGCCAGUGGAGCUUUAGAAGGAGACACCAAGUCUUGGUUUCAACAAACCUCCCAGCAAUGGUGAAUCUGGAUCAUUGAUAAAGACAGUGCUGCCCUUUCUCGACUCAAGCAGCCAGUCAGAUUUUGGGGUCCUGGGGAUGUUCUGGCUGGAAGAAAUGGACACGGUCUGGUGUUCUCUGUGUUUAUUUACAAGCAAUGUACAAAGUCCUGCUUCCCUGAACACAAGAGGAACCAAGAUCAAAAGGAGCAGCUUCUUCGUUUACAGCCCCAAGCCUCUUUAGCCAGCACCAGACCCCAAAGCUCUCUUGCUUUUUCCUGGCUCACACUGUGCUCACAGGCUCCUGCUUCUCCCACUCUCUGUUCGUCUGUUCUCAAUUUCUCCAUGAGCUCCCUGCACAC
Long non-coding RNA from Mauremys reevesii (Reeves's turtle), 978 nucleotides. RefSeq lists it as uncharacterized. Lineage: Eukaryota; Metazoa; Chordata; Testudines; Geoemydidae. The record is from RefSeq and is a predicted model, not a curated record. The transcript has 4 exons.